CCGACGGUGAGGGAUGAAAGCUGGGGGAGCAAACCGGAUUAGAUACCCGGGUAGUCCCAGCUGUAAACGAUGCAAACUCGAUGAUGCGUUGGCUUAUUGCUAGCGCAGUGUCGCAGGGAAGCCGUUAAGUUUGCCGCCUGGGAAGUACGUACGCAAGUAUGAAACUUAAAGGAAUUGGCGGGGGAGCACCACAAGGGGUGAAGCCUGCGGUUCAAUUGGAGUCAACGCCUGAAACCUUACCCGGAGAGACAGCAGAAUGAAGGUCAAGCUGAAGACUUUACCAGACAAGCUGAGAGGUGGUGCAUGGCCGUCGCCAGCUCGUGCCGUGAGAUGUCCUGUUAAGUCAGGUAACGAGCGAGAUCCCUGCCUCUAGUUGCCACUAUUACACCCUGGUGUAGUGGGGCGAAUUAGCGGGACCGCCGCAGUUAAUGCGGAGGAAGGAAGGGGCCACGGCAGGUCAGUAUGCCCCGAAACUCUGGGGCCACACGCGGGCUGCAAUGGUAACGACAAUUGGUUUCGAAUCCGAAAGGAUGAGGUAAUCCUCAAACGUUACCACAGUUAUGACUGAGGGCUGCAACUCGCCCUCACGAAUAUGGAAUCCCUAGUAACUGCGUGUCAUUAUCGCGCGGUGAAUACGUCCCUGCUCCUUGCACUCACCGCCCGU
This 664-nucleotide ribosomal RNA is filed under the name uncultured archaeon. RNAcentral's name for it is "bacterial SSU rRNA". It matches the Rfam family "Archaeal small subunit ribosomal RNA", at positions 691 to 1353 of the family's 1478-position model. The record is from RNAcentral.